Molecule: long non-coding RNA, 2620 nt
Filed under: Mus musculus (house mouse)
Lineage: Eukaryota; Metazoa; Chordata; Mammalia; Rodentia; Muridae
Description: long non-coding RNA chr6:29957032-29959652
Source: RNAcentral
GCACAGACAGACACCCAGCAUAGUUCAGGGCUAUUCUGGAUACCAAUAGACUCAAAGGUGGUUGCAAGACUGGGGUCCUGAGUCAAAGCAAAUGGAUCAACUUGCCCUAGGCUCAGCUAGGUGCCUAGUUGGCCUUCAAAUCUCCCGAUGGAUCAGACCUGGACAGACUCUUGGAAACCUGCUUUAAUCUUGCCUAGAACCCUGCUCACUUUUGUCAGCCACAAUAGUGAAAGGAAGUUUGUCAUGGCAUUUGACCCACGACAUUCAUCUCCAGCAGGGGGAUAGGGACAGGCCAUAAAAUAAGCCUUGUCUUCUUGCCCACUCAAAAUGCCUGGGACGUAUCAUUUAGCAAAACCAACUUUAGACUGUAUUUCACACUUCAAAUGUUGAUGCUCAUCUCUUCAUAAAAUCAUCAUUGGUUCUAAGAUGGUUUGAGAGCACUGCAUCUUUAUAAAGGAUGACUGUUUCCAAAACACUGCAUGUUCCAGAACAGCAUACUGUGUAGGGUUUUUUUUUUCCUUAAGAGCUCUGUGUUCAAUGUAAAAAAUUAUUUCAUGUGUAUUUUCUAUAGCACAUUGAAUGCUUCAUCAUUUGAAAAGAACCACAAUUAAUAUAAUAUGGCCUUCUCUAGGAAUAGCUUAGACUUUUUACAAAGUACUUCAGUUUUUUCCUAUGAAUGCCAGCUUUAUUACUCAUGUACCAUCUACAGACGUAAAACCCAACAGCCCCCUGCCCCAAGAAGGAAGUUGAAAAAACAUUAACGAAAAGAGCCUAUGCCAGGGAGUCCGGAAUCCUGUGACAUGCCAUCUCUGCGUCGGUACCCAGAAGAGAGUGGAAGACUCAUGAAGGCUUCCAAAGAUUCGGGGAGUCCAGAGUCAUUUUGAGAGGACUCUGGGGUUCUGCCUGGUAGUCCCUCCUGAUGUACAGUGGCGACAGCACAGUUUCCAAUUCUUGCGGGCCUUAGACAACCGCUUGAGCUUCAUCUCACGCCUUUUCCUGAAGAACCAAAUCCUGGUGUCUCCUUUUGUCAGUUUGAGUGCGUCAGCCUAGGCUUCCAGAGUCUCCUCUUUGGUGGCAGUCUUUCUCAAAGUGCUUUCUUAGCUCCUGGAACUGCUCAUAGGUGAACCCAGAGGAUUCAUCUCAGCAGGACAAACUUGGAGUUGUCGCUGAGAAUCCCGGUUACUUCUGUCUUGGCUGCAGCUCACUUGAGUUCUGUCCUUCAGUUUGAGGCUCUACUAUAGGAUUUUCCACUCUUUCAUGUUUUUAAACAGCUGAGUGCACUGCAGAAAAUUACUGUCUAAUAUAAGCCCAGAUCUUCACCUGAGUGGCCAUGGGAGCCAGGCAGAUCCGGCUUUGCAGCCCUGGCUAGGCCAGACCUUACUGUACAGCCAGGCUGGCCUUGAACUUGGAGUGAUCCUCCUUCCUCUGUCUGCUGAGUGUCACAGGCCUGGGCCACCACCUCCAACAAGUUCAUUUUAAAUGAUUAUAGGAGGUUUUAUUUACUGAAAUUUGUCCAUGUUAGCUGAUUUUUUUAAUGAGAAGCAAUAGCACCAGUUUAAUUUUCUCUCCCAUGGUUAUUGUUUUUUACCCUUUCUCUCUCUCUCUCUUUUUUUUAACUGCUAGCAGUUUCAAUGUGGUUUGUACUGGAAGUAUCAUAUAUUUCACGGAGGAGUCUUUAUUCCUCCUACAUAGAAAAAUCACAUUUUUAUCUUCUGCUUUUCAAUUUUAGUCUUUGAACCUUUUCAUUUUAAAGGUCUCCUCACUGCCCAGGCACUAAUGAAUCUUUUUAUGAUAGCACAAGGACACUUUAUUCCUAGAGAGCUGGUCCAGACUGGCUCAUUUACUCUUCCCUUUGUCAAGCACAGUCUCAUUUUAGGUCACUAUAGAGACCAACAUUAUCCAAGGGAGCUAUCAGUACCUCUGUGCUUCGGGUAGCAGGGUUUCCUACUGUGGAAAAUGGCAGAGAAUGUGAAGUACGUAACAGAUGAAGUAUCUUAAAAUAAUUUGCAAAUUGUAUCAAAGCAUGACAGCAAUCCUCAUUUCAAACAGCUUACUGAAUGUAGCAUCAGGCAACUUUAUUCAUCUAGGGUCAGGCUACUAUGAUUUUAAUUUCUGAGUAAAAGAUAAUUUUCCAGGAAACAGAGUUAUUACCAAUCUACUUUAAAGUUAUAUUCAAUUCUGUAAAGAAAAAAUUAGUUGCCUUUUAAAAAAAACACAUAAAUGCUUUCUGAGGCACAGAAGUAUACUAAGCUUUAAUAUGUUGUAUUUUAUUAUUUAUAACUCUUGAGAAUAUUAAUUCUCAAUGCAGAUGGAAAAACUAUUACACCUUGCAAGAAAAAGAAUGAUUAACUUAAAUCACAUUUUCCCCACAACUUGCUGUGGCUAACUUUCUGGUAUCCACAGCGAGCCCUAUGUCUAAGAUAACUGGGUUAGAUCUCCCAGUUUGAGAGAUAGCAUAUGUGGUUAGGAAUAGCUUCAGAUUAACCAGCAUUUAAUGGUGAUUACAGUUUCCACAUAGAAGCAUGCCAUUUGUAUGAUUUAUAAUAUAAGGACUUUCUUUGUGAAUAUUUCCAUGAAGUUUAUGUUGAUUGAUAAUAUUGUUCAUCUCACUGAACACUUU